GGGGAUAUGGCGAAAUCGGUAGACGCUACGGACUUUCAAUACUGACAACAAAGAAAUUUCUAGUAAGAAGAAAAUCCGUCGACUUUCAAAGUCGUGAGGGUUCAAGUCCCUCUAUCCCCA
Molecule: transfer RNA, 120 nt
Filed under: Mammillaria huitzilopochtli
Lineage: Eukaryota; Viridiplantae; Streptophyta; Magnoliopsida; Caryophyllales; Cactaceae
Also listed under: 3 other names
Description: tRNA-Leu
Rfam family: tRNA
About the family: Transfer RNA (tRNA) molecules are approximately 80 nucleotides in length. Their secondary structure includes four short double-helical elements and three loops (D, anti-codon, and T loops).
Source: RNAcentral